This 197-nucleotide ribosomal RNA is filed under the name uncultured bacterium. RNAcentral describes it as "partial 16S ribosomal RNA". It matches the Rfam family "Bacterial small subunit ribosomal RNA", at positions 1303 to 1500 of the family's 1533-position model. The record is from RNAcentral.
GGCUGAAAUUCGCCUUCAUGAAGCUGGAAUUGCUAGUAAUGGCAGGUCAGCAUACUGCCGUGAAUACGUUCCCGGGCCUUGUACACACCGCCCGUCACACCAUGAGAGUUGGGGAUACCCGAAGCCUGUGAGCUAACUUUUAGAGGCAGCAGUCGAAGGUAGAAUCAAUGAUUGGGGUGAAGUCGUAACAAGGUAAC